GUUUUUUCUGAUUUUAAUUCUUUUUCUUUUAUUAUUUUUAAUAUCUUUUUCUUUUAAAAUUCAUAGUAAUUCCAUUUUUCAUCUAAAAAAUCCCAAAAUAAUUUCUUAAAUUCUCUUUUAUUUUUCUUUCUCUGACUUUUAUUUUUUUACAUUUUAUUUCACUGAUUUACUAUUUUUCAUGAAUUUUCUCUUUUCUCCUUUGUUUUUA
Molecule: long non-coding RNA, 208 nt
Filed under: Lathyrus oleraceus (garden pea)
Lineage: Eukaryota; Viridiplantae; Streptophyta; Magnoliopsida; Fabales; Fabaceae
Description: Pisum sativum (pea) long non-coding RNA (PSAT_LNC024773)
Source: RNAcentral